RNAcentral lists this microRNA (22 nucleotides) under Sus scrofa (pig). RNAcentral's name for it is "ssc-miR-1296-3p". Lineage: Eukaryota; Metazoa; Chordata; Mammalia; Artiodactyla; Suidae. The record is from miRBase by way of RNAcentral.
GAGUGGGGUUUUGACCCUAACC